This is a long non-coding RNA of Oncorhynchus keta (chum salmon), 966 nucleotides long. RefSeq lists it as uncharacterized. The transcript is spliced from 4 exons. NCBI's taxonomy places the organism in Eukaryota, Metazoa, Chordata, Actinopteri, Salmoniformes, Salmonidae. The record is from RefSeq and is a predicted model, not a curated record.
GACAGGACUGGGUUAUAGACACUACUAGGUUAUAGACAGGACUGGGUUAUAGACAGGACUGGGUUAUAGACACUACUAGGUUAUAGACAGGACUGGGUUAUACACACUACUAGGUUAUAGACAGGACUGGGUUAUAGACAGGACUGGGUUAUAGACAGGACUGGGUUAUAGACAGGACUGGGUUAUAGACACUACUAGGUUAUAGACAGGACUGGGUUAUAGACAGGACUGGGUUAUAGACAGGACUGGGUUAUAGACAGGACUGGGUUAUAGACAGGACUGGGUUAUAGACAGGACUGGGUUAUAGACACUACUAGGUUAUAGACAGGACUGGGUUAUAGACAGGACUAGGUUAUAGACAGGACUGGGUUAUAGACACUACUGGGUUAUAGACACUACUGGGUUAUAGACACUACUGGGUUAUAGACACUACUAGGUUAUAGACAGGACUGGGUUAUAGACAGGACUAGGUUAUAGACACUACUGGGUUAUAGACAGGACUGGGUUAUAGACACUACUAGGUUAUAGACAGGACUGGGUUAUAGACACUACUAGGUUAUAGACAGGACUGGGUUAUAGACAGGACUGGGUUAUAGACACUACUGGGUUAUAGACAGGACUGGGUUAUAGACACUACUGGGUUAUAGACAGGACUGGGUUAUAGACACUACUAGGUUAUAGACAGGACUGGGUUAUAGACACUACUGGGUUAUAGACAGGACUGGGUUAUAGACACUACUGGGUUAUAGACAGGACUGGGUUAUAGACAGGACUAGGUUAUAGACAGGACUGGGUUAUAGACACAGUGCAUUAUUUCCACUCUGCACACUUCUUCAUACACUAGCUUCAUACUUCAUACAUUCCCAGUCACAGACAUACUGUUCCUCACACACUUCCUAAGAUAUUGACUGAUAUUGAUGUUGAUAUUGUACUGAGAUGAAUACCUGGCCAGUUUCUUUAACCUGU